GAUGAACGCUGGCGGCGUGCCUAAUACAUGCAAGUCGAGCGAACGGACGAGAAGCUUGCUUCUCUGAUGUUAGCGGCGGACGGGUGAGUAACACGUGGAUAACCUACCUAUAAGACUGGGAUAACUUCGGGAAACCGGAGCUAAUACCGGACAAUAUUUUGAACCGCAUGGUUCAAAAGUGGAAGACGGUCUUGCUGUCACUUAUAGAUGGAUCCGCGCUGCAUUAGCUAGUUGGUAAGGUAACGGCUUACCAAGGCAACGAUGCAUAGCCGACCUGAGAGGGUGAUCGGCCACACUGGAACUGAGACACGGUCCAGACUCCUACGGGAGGCAGCAGUAGGGAAUCUUCCGCAAUGGGCGAAAGCCUGACGGAGCAACGCCGCGUGAGUGAUGAAGGUCUUCGGAUCGUAAAACUCUGUUAUUAGGGAAGAACAUAUGUGUAAGUAACUGUGCACAUCUUGACGGUACCUAAUCAGAAAGCCACGGCUAACUACGUG
This 497-nucleotide ribosomal RNA is filed under the name uncultured bacterium. RNAcentral's name for it is "partial 16S ribosomal RNA". It matches the Rfam family "Bacterial small subunit ribosomal RNA", at positions 28 to 507 of the family's 1533-position model. The record is from RNAcentral.